GAUGAACGCGGGCGGCGCGCCUAACACAUGCAAGUCGAACGAUUAAAGCACCUUCGGGUGUGUAUAAAGUGGCGAACGGCUGAGUAACACGUGGGCAACCUGCCCCUCUCAUUGGGAUAGCCACGGGAAACCGUGGAUAAUACCGAAUACUUCGAGACUUCCGCAUGGAAGACUCGAGAAAGCUCCGGCGGAGAGGGAUGGGCCCGCGGCCUGUUAGCUUGUUGGUGGGGUAACGGCCUACCAAGGCAAUGAUGGGUAGCUGGGUUGAGAGACCGACCAGCCAGAUUGGGACUGAGACACGGCCCAGACUCCUACGGGAGGCAGCAGUGGGGAAUCUUGCACAAUGGGCGAAAGCCUGAUGCAGCGACGCCGCGUGCGGGAUGAAGGCCUUCGGGUUGUAAACCGCUUUCAGCAGGGACGAGGCGAAAGUGACGGUACCUGCAGAAGAAGCCCCGGCUAACUACGUGCCAGCAGCCGCGGUAAUACGUAGGGGGCAAGCGUUAUCCGGAUUCAUUGGGCGUAAAGCGCACGUAGGCGGUCUGUUAGGUCGGGAGUUAAAUCCGGGGGCUCAACCCCCGUUCGCUCCCGAUACCGGCAGACUUGAGUUUGGUAGGGGAAGGUGGAAUUCCUAGUGUAGCGGUGGAAUGCGCAGAUAUUAGGAAGAACACCAGUGGCGAAGGCGGCCUUCUGGGCCAUAACUGACGCUGAGGAGCGAAAGCUAGGGGAGCAAACAGG
This 735-nucleotide ribosomal RNA is filed under the name uncultured Atopobium sp. Its description in RNAcentral is "bacterial SSU rRNA". It matches the Rfam family "Bacterial small subunit ribosomal RNA", at positions 28 to 776 of the family's 1533-position model. The record is from RNAcentral. Lineage: Bacteria; Bacillati; Actinomycetota; Coriobacteriia; Coriobacteriales; Atopobiaceae.